This 565-nucleotide ribosomal RNA is filed under the name Bipolaris oryzae. RNAcentral's name for it is "eukaryotic LSU rRNA". The stretch from base 191 to 344 matches the Rfam family "5.8S ribosomal RNA". Lineage: Eukaryota; Fungi; Ascomycota; Dothideomycetes; Pleosporales; Pleosporaceae. The record is from RNAcentral.
UGCGGAGGGAUCAUUACACAACAAAAUAUGAAGGCCUGGCUUUCGCGGCCGGCUGAAGUAUUUUUUUCACCCAUGUCUUUUGCGCACUUGUUGUUUCCUGGGCGGGUUCGCCCGCCACCAGGACCAAACCAUAAACCUUUUUUUCUUAUGCAGUUUCCAUCAGCGUCAGUAAAAACAAUGUAAUUAUUACAACUUUCAACAACGGAUCUCUUGGUUCUGGCAUCGAUGAAGAACGCAGCGAAAUGCGAUACGUAGUGUGAAUUGCAGAAUUCAGUGAAUCAUCGAAUCUUUGAACGCACAUUGCGCCCUUUGGUAUUCCAAAGGGCAUGCCUGUUCGAGCGUCAUUUGUACCUUCAAGCUUUGCUUGGUGUUGGGCGUUUUUUUGUCUCCCUCUUUCUGGGAGACUCGCCUUAAAACGAUUGGCAGCCGGCCUACUGGUUUCGGAGCGCAGCACAUUUUUUGCGCUUUGUAUCAGGAGAAAAGGACGGUACUCCAUCAAGACUCUACAUUUUUCACUUUUGACCUCGGAUCAGGUAGGGAUACCCGCUGAACUUAAGCAUAUCAA